GGGAAUAUUGCAAAAUGGGCGAAAGCCCGAUGCAGCAACGCCGCGUGGGCGAUGAAGGCCUUCGGGUCGUAAAGCCCUUUUUGAGGGGAUGAGGAAGGACAGUACCCUCAGAAUAAGCCUCGGCUAACUACGUGCCAGCAGCCGCGGUAAAACGUAGGAGGCGAGCGUUAUCCGGAUUUACUGGGCGUAAAGCGCGUGCAGGCGGAUUGGAGAGUUGGAUGUGGAAGCUCCCGGCUUAACUGGGAGAGGUCGUUCAAUACUUCCAGUCUUGAGUGCAGUAGAGGGAAGUGGAAUUCCGGGUGUAGUGGUGAAAUGCGUAGAUAUCCGGAGGAACACCAGUGGCGAAAGCGGCUUCCUGGACUGUAACUGACGCUCAGACGCGAAAGCUAGGGUAGCAAAUG
This 401-nucleotide ribosomal RNA is filed under the name uncultured bacterium. RNAcentral's name for it is "bacterial SSU rRNA". It matches the Rfam family "Bacterial small subunit ribosomal RNA", at positions 357 to 774 of the family's 1533-position model. The record is from RNAcentral.